AACGAACGCUGGCGGCAUGCCUAACACAUGCAAGUCGAACGAGACCUUCGGGUCUAGUGGCGCACGGGUGCGUAACGCGUGGGAAUCUGCCCUUGGGUUCGGAAUAACUCAGAGAAAUUUGAGCUAAUACCGGAUGAUGACGUAAGUCCAAAGAUUUAUCGCCCAAGGAUGAGCCCGCGUAAGAUUAGCUUGUUGGUAGGGUAAUGGCCUACCAAGGCGACGAUCUUUAGCUGGUCUGAGAGGAUGAUCAGCCACACUGGGACUGAGACACGGCCCAGACUCCUACGGGAGGCAGCAGUGGGGAAUAUUGGGCAAUGGGCGGAAGCCUGACCCAGCCAUGCCGCGUGAAGGAAGACGGCCUUAUGGGUUGUAAACUUCUUUACUAUGCGACUAACUAGAUUUACGAGAUAAUUCUAUAGAAUGUAGCAUAGCAAAAAGCACCGGCUAACUCCGUGCCAGCAGCCGCGGUAAGAGUACUCUAU
Molecule: ribosomal RNA, 482 nt
Filed under: uncultured bacterium
Lineage: Bacteria
Description: bacterial SSU rRNA
Rfam family: Bacterial small subunit ribosomal RNA
Source: RNAcentral